This 157-nucleotide non-coding RNA is filed under the name Aurantiochytrium limacinum. Lineage: Eukaryota; Bigyra; Thraustochytrida; Thraustochytriidae. The record is from RNAcentral.
AAGCUCAGGGAGCACCGUCAAGCAAGCAAGCAAGCAAUUAAAUAAACAAACAAACAAAAAAUGAAAGAAUAGAAUUUUGAGCAAGUGGUGCCUCGACCUCCCAAUCUGUGCAUCUCUCUCUCUCUUUCUCGCACACUAUGAUAAUUUUUGUUACUUA